UGGGGAAUUUUGCACAAUGGGGAAACCCUGAUGCAGCGACGCCGCGUGAUUUAGAAGGCCUUCGGGUUGUAAAAAUCUUUUUUACGGGAUGAAAAUGACAGUACCGUAAGAAUAAGGUCCGGCUAAAUACGUGCCAGCAGCCGCGGUAAUACGUAUGGACCGAGCGUUGUCCGGAAUCAUUGGGCGUAAAGGGUACGUAGGCGGCCUAGUAAGUUAGAAGUGAAAUAAUAUAGCUCAACUAUAUAAAGCUUUUAAAACUGCUAGGCUUGAGAGAUGGAAGGGAAAGUGGAAUUCCUAGUGUAGCGGUGAAAUGCGCAGAUAUUAGGAAGAAUACCGGUGGCGAAGGCGACUUUCUGGUCAUCAUCUGACGCUGAGGUACGAAAGCGUGGGUAGCAAACAGG
Molecule: ribosomal RNA, 401 nt
Filed under: bacterium
Lineage: Bacteria
Description: partial 16S ribosomal RNA
Rfam family: Bacterial small subunit ribosomal RNA
Source: RNAcentral